AGACCUGAGUGAGGAGGACCAGGGACAUUAUACUUGUGUUGUUGACGAACGCUACCAAACACAUAUUUCUCUCCUGGUCAAAGCAAACACAUUGACAACUAAAUCAACUCCUGGAAAACAAACACCAGCAACUAAGGAAAAAGAUGAUAAAAGCAGAGGUGGAACAACAUCACCCCUCUGCAUUGCAAGUUUCAUUUCUGUACUUUUGUUACUGCUGCUUUUGGGAGGACUUGCAUUCACCUUCUGGAGAUAUAAAGGACAGAGAGAGAGGCAGAUGGGGAAUGACAACAGACAAAGAAGGGGCACAGACCAAGAACGUGAUAUGUCGGCCACAUCAACAUAUGAAGUUCUUAAGCAUCGUUACAAUGCAGAACAGAUGUACUCGACCGUUGGGCAGAACGCUGGAGUGCAGGUUAAUGAUCAUGAUGGUGAUCAGAUUGAUCAAUCUGCAUGAGGCACCAGAGGAUUGCUGCAUCUCAACUGCCCAUCAGCGUCACUUACAUUGCACUGUCACAUGUUCAAUUCCUACCCGGCUUGUUAUAAUUUUAGAUGUCUUGCUUUACACAGCCCUAUGUUAAAUGCUCAUGUUAAACUAUUAAAUUAAAUAUGCAGAUGUAGUUACAUACAACAUAUUAAACCUGUUUUUGUACCAAGGCCAUCACUUGUGUACUAUUCUUCUCUGCAUUUUGCAGUUUCACACAGGAUGAGGAUUUGAAGUGUGAUUGUUCUUUAAAAACAAAUAUCUACUGAUUACAUGCAAAUCAAGAUAUGCAAGUCAAGGAGGGACUUUUUGUAUGUCUGUUGUCGUUUACAAAGUCUGCUUGUUAACUUUCAUAUCU
Long non-coding RNA from Clupea harengus (Atlantic herring), 839 nucleotides. Lineage: Eukaryota; Metazoa; Chordata; Actinopteri; Clupeiformes; Clupeidae. The record is from Ensembl.